Mytilus trossulus (common blue mussel) is the source of this 259-nucleotide long non-coding RNA. RefSeq lists it as uncharacterized. The transcript has 3 exons. The record is from RefSeq and is a predicted model, not a curated record. Lineage: Eukaryota; Metazoa; Mollusca; Bivalvia; Mytilida; Mytilidae.
GAGGUAAUCUGGCUUGUACGCAGUAUAUGCAAAAGUCAUUUCACAUUAUUACCGUAAGUAAAAAUUUGAAGAAUAAAGAAGAAAAAUGGAAAACACUAUUGAUAACCAUUUCAACGAGGCUGUUGGUGAUAAUGAUCCUCUCUCCAACACCUCAACGGAAUUUGCAUUAUCAAAAAGUGAGACAGUACCAACAGGUAGUUGUGUUAUUAACCAAUUUGUGGGAGAGAAAUAUUUUGGAUGGCUAUUUAAGAGUUGGAAU